CCGAGUUUACAACUCCCAAACCCCUGUGAACAUACCUGUUUUUGUUGCUUCGGGCCGGUGCCCUCGCCUCUCGUGGCGAGGGCCCGCCAGAGGACCCCAAACAAACUCUUUGAUUUUGAUCUAGGAUUUUUACUUCUGGAGUGAUAUACAAAAUAAAUCA
Molecule: unclassified non-coding RNA, 160 nt
Filed under: soil metagenome
Description: partial internal transcribed spacer 1
Source: RNAcentral